GCCUGACUGGCUCAGUGGGUAGAGCGCGCGACUCUUGAUCUUGGGAUUGUGGGUUCAACCUCCACAUCGAGUG
RNAcentral lists this transfer RNA (73 nucleotides) under Felis catus (domestic cat). It matches the Rfam family "tRNA". From Rfam's summary of the family: Transfer RNA (tRNA) molecules are approximately 80 nucleotides in length. Lineage: Eukaryota; Metazoa; Chordata; Mammalia; Carnivora; Felidae. The record is from Rfam by way of RNAcentral. RNAcentral also lists the same sequence under 1 other name.